RNAcentral lists this ribosomal RNA (774 nucleotides) under uncultured Neocallimastigales. Its description in RNAcentral is "partial large subunit ribosomal RNA". It matches the Rfam family "Eukaryotic large subunit ribosomal RNA", at positions 24 to 628 of the family's 3401-position model. Lineage: Eukaryota; Fungi; Neocallimastigomycota; Neocallimastigomycetes; Neocallimastigales. The record is from RNAcentral.
UAUGUGAUCGUCUCUCGCAUAUCAAUAAGCGGAGGAAAAGAAACUAACAAGGAUUCCCCUAGUAACGGCGAGUGAAGCGGGAAGAGCUCAAAUUUGAAAUCUUAAAGGGUUUCCCUUUACGAAUUGUAGUUUAAAGAAGUGUUUUCUGUUGAGGUUUUGGUAAAAGUUCUUUGGAAUAGGACAUCAUAGAGGGUGAGAAUCCCGUAUUUGACCUUUACUUUCAACUUUGUGAUACACUUUCAAAGAGUCGGAUUGUUUGGGAAUGCAGUCCAAAAUGGGUGGUAAAUUUCAUCUAAAGCUAAAUAUUGGCGAGAGACCGAUAGCGAACAAGUACCGUGAGGGAAAGAUGAAAAGAACUUUGAAAAGAGAGUUAAACAGUACGUGAAAUUGUCAAAAGGGAAGCGUUUGACACCAGUGUUGUUUUUCUGAAAAUCAAUUAAAGAACUGUUUAUGCUAAGUUGUUUAGACUUUAUCAGCUAUCUGUUUAGUUUUGAGCUUUUCUUUAAUGCACUUUUCAGUUAACAAGUCAACAUCAAUUUCUUUUGCUGUAAAAAAGCUUGAGGAAGGUGGCUUGAGAUUCGUCUUAAGUGUUUAUAGCCUCUUGCCUAUGCAGUCGGAGAGAUUGAGGUCUGCAGCGUAGAUCCUUCGGGGCUAAAUGCAUUUGUGCUAAGUUAUAACAUUUUAUAGACAACUUGUUGACUAUGAUUUGUCUUGUAGCUUACUCGCUUAUGUUAUUUUACCUACGCUUAGGAUGUUGAGUCGUAGAGCACGCAG